GAGUGCCCGUAAAAUCGGGCUGUCCACCAGUUUAAAUAACUGGUGAAGAAAGGGCCGGGCAAGACCGGUGCCAGCCGCCGCGGUAAUACCGGCGGCUCGAGUGGUGGCCACUAUUACUGGGCUUAAAGCGUUCGUAGCUGGUUUGUUAAGUCUCUGGGGAAAUCUUCCGGCUUAACCGGAAGGCGUCUCAGGGAUACUGGCAGACUAGGGACCGGGAGAGGUGAGGGGUACUCCAGGGGUAGGAGUGAAAUCCUGUAAUCCUUGGGGGACCACCUGUGGCGAAGGCGCCUCACCAGAACGGCUCCGACAGUGAGGGACGAAAGCUGGGGGAGCAAACCGGAUUAGAUACCCGGGUAGUCCCAGCUGUAAACGAUGCGCGUUAGGUGUAUCGGUGACCACGAGUUACCGAGGUGCCGAAGAGAAAUCGUGAAACGUGCCGCCUGGGAAGUACGGUCGCAAGGCUGAAACU
This 469-nucleotide ribosomal RNA is filed under the name uncultured archaeon. Its description in RNAcentral is "bacterial SSU rRNA". It matches the Rfam family "Archaeal small subunit ribosomal RNA", at positions 383 to 856 of the family's 1478-position model. The record is from RNAcentral.